GUGUGUGUGUGUGUGAGAGAGAGAGAGAGAGAGAGAGAGAGAGAGAGAGAGAGAGAGAGAGAGACAUCAGUCGGUUGCCUCCCCCACACACCCUGAGGGGGGCUGGUCAUUGAACUCAGAAUCUAGGUAUGUGCCCUGACCCGGAAUUGAACCCACAACCUUUUGGUGGCUGGGACAACACUCCUACCGACUGAGCCACACUGGCCAGGGCAAUGCGUUUCUUACUAUGAACUAUAAUCCCACACUUUGGAAGAACACUGAUCCAGUGUUUUCAGUGGCUCAGGAUGUGAGUUUACAGUUGAAAAGCCAGGGGCGGUCCAGGGCAGCUCGCGGAGGUGUGGGGUGGGGCUGGGCACUUAGCCACAGAGCCCUGGCCUUUUCCUCUCUGUGUCCUGGAACAAGUGACACGACCUCCUGGGCCUCAGUUUCCCUGUCUGUAAAAGGGGGCUGACACCACCUGCUCACAGAGAGGGUGCUGUGAGGGUUCCCAGGAGCCCAGGAACCCGAAGACGCCAGCCCUGAAGUCGGCGGCUGUUCCGUCAUUUCAUUCAGGUCUGUCUGCUCUUCCUCCUCUACCUCCGGGGAAAGGAAAGCACGUGCCCUCACCCCUGGGACCCCUGCUGGGGAUGGUCAGGACUCGGGGUACACAGAAAGGUAUUCCAGAGCUAAAUUCCAAGGUGAGACAGACUGUCCGGCGGAUUUCACGCAGAUAAAAUCAAGUUCUGGUGAACUCCCAGAGCAGCUUCCAAAGGGCAGUCAUGUCCCCAGGAGAGGAGCAGCCGCCUACCCUUGCUCCAGGAAGCAGAGGGGUCUGGGCUGCUGCCCCCCUCCCAUCUGGCUGGGUGGACAGGACACGGCCUGCAAGCCCGGAGUCAUUGCUAGAAGCCAUCCUGGGCCCCGGGAGGGCAAGCAGGGACGGCUUCCCUCAGGUGGUUCCUGAACCUGUGUCCUUGGCCACCCCCUCCCUCAGCCCGGCCCCUGUUCUCUGGGCCUCUUCUGCCUCUAAACCCUGCAGGGGACUUGGACGUGAGUGGAAUAUCUGGAAUUCCUAGAGGAUUUAUAACCCAGCAACUGGAACAGGUGUGGGUAGCUGACCCACACCCGCACCCCUCUGCCUCCAGUCUCUGCCUCUGCCUCCAGCUCUGCCCUUCAUCUUUCCUCUUGGGCCCCAGCGUCACGUCACAUGUUGGAAACAACUUAAACGCUCAUCUCUGGAGUCUAGUUUGAUACAUUAUGCUACGCCUCCCUUGAGGGGAAUCCUCUGAGGUGCAAAAAUCCACCGAGGAGGCGCUUCUUGAAUAUACAUAGGAAGACCUCUAAGACAUAGUGUUGAAUUAAAAAGGAAGAUCAGACAGCCGAACGACCUUCCGGACGUCCUUCCGGAUGACCUUCUGGAGGAAGCCGGGGCUGUGAGGGCCCAGGCAAGCCACAGCGGCUGCGAGGGCCGCACUCCUUGCACGAAUUUCAUGCAUCGGGCCUCUAAUAUAAAUAUACAUGUAUUUGUUUAGCUCUGCAUAGAAGGGCCUUCGGGGAGGGUUCACAGGAAGUGGGUAGUGGUGAGCCGUGGGAGAAAAAUGAGCAAGUGGGGAACGAGGUGGGAAGAAAUCUUUCCAUCGAAUAUCCGAAUCUUUUAAAAUAUUAUGCCAUGUAAAUGUGUUACCUGUUAAAAAUUAAAACAAAAAAUAAACUAAUUAUAAAGACUAUGAGGCAACAUUGGAAAAUGAUUAUAAGACAGGUGGGAAAAAUUUAAAAACUACAUUCAGUAGGAUUAUAACUAUGUAAUAAAUGCAUGUAAAGUUUCUAUUUGUGGGAGGAACAUUUUAGGUAAUUUUUAUUUCCCUCUUUUCUUGUAUUUUCCCAGAAAUUUCAAUAAUACAUAUUGUUAUUAUUAGAAAAAAAUAGCAACACCAGGAAAUACAUAUGUACUAAGAUAAUUGUAUAUUCAGUAUAAUCUCAUGUAUUAAAACAAAGCAUUGAAAAAGAAUGGGAGAAAAUAGGCAGAAUGUUCACAGUGGUUGUCUCUAGAUGUGAGAGAUGAGGUGAUUUUUAAAAUAUUAAAUAUUUUGUAUUAUUUUCAUGAGAGAAAG
This is a long non-coding RNA of Myotis myotis, 2087 nucleotides long. RefSeq lists it as uncharacterized. The record is from RefSeq and is a predicted model, not a curated record. The transcript is spliced from 3 exons. Lineage: Eukaryota; Metazoa; Chordata; Mammalia; Chiroptera; Vespertilionidae.